RNAcentral lists this long non-coding RNA (1626 nucleotides) under Sus scrofa (pig). Its description in RNAcentral is "lncRNA (ENSSSCG00060055051.1)". Lineage: Eukaryota; Metazoa; Chordata; Mammalia; Artiodactyla; Suidae. The record is from RNAcentral.
GUGUCAGACCCCCUGACUUGUCUAUCUUUGUAAAAAAAAAAAAAAUUUUUUUAAUCUUUUCCGCUGAGCUCUUCUGCUUUUUAUGAGGCCUGGUAAUGAAAACGUAAUGUGCAAAUCCUAACAUCAAACCCAUGUUACAUAAUAAACCCUUGCCUCCCCAGCCCUCUCCAGAAGGGCAGAGAGAACAUUUCAGAACUGAAGUACUCGAGAUGCUUCUGUUUAUAGCGAUGGGCAUCUUACCGUGUCCCUGUCCACCUGAGGGCAGAACCGUGGGUUCCCACGCUGCCAUCCGAGUCUCAGAAAGCCCAAGUUCCUAAAACUAUGCCUGCUCAACCAAGAAGGAAUGGUGCCCUUGGGCAAGCUCAGCAGACUUCGAAAAUACCAUGCAGAGAAUUUGCCCCUGCCCCCGCCACCAACAUGGGCUGGCAUAGAAGGAAAGGGAAAGGAAAAAGAAGGAAAUUAACACUAGUGUGGCCCAAAUAGUGCUGAAGGUUUACUGUGGUGGCUCCCUUCAACUUCACAGUAGCUUUCAACACAGUUUCAAGGAGGACACUGAGGGUCUGAGAGUACCAGGGCCCAAGGUUAUGACAACAGGUGAAGAGCAGAGCUGCAGAGCUAAGCCAACAUCUCUCAAGCUUCACACCCCCUUGCUUUUUCUGCACGUGACAUUGACAACCAUAUAUAACCACAGAUGAAGCAAGCCCCAAAUAGUCCACAAGGAAUAACACAUCCUCUGGGAGAGAACUCCCUGUAGGAAGGGGUCAGCCGUGACAGCUGUCCCCACCUUCUGCUUGCCCAAGUCCCACCAGCCACCCCUCCAUGGAGUCUCCUGAGCCAGAGCAAUCUCUGCCACCAUCCCAUGUGGCUUCUCAGGAUGGCCUUCUCCCUCCCUAUCUCUAGGUGGGUCAGGUCUCUCUAGAUUCAGCCAGGAAACAAUUGUAACACUUCAAAGAGCAUACGUAAUGGGCACAUAUGAGAGAGAGAAAAUACAAGAGCAGAGAUGCCAUCAGCUUCACAGAGAAGGGACCUCUUAACAAAUAUCACCUAGGAACCUCAUGCCCCCUUCCGAUCUAGGUAUCUACCUGUCACAGUAACUAGCAGGGGUUUUAGCUCUGGAUGUUGUGAAGGAAACACAGGCAUUCGUUGAGAAUGAUGACAUCUGUGAUGAAAAAGAUACACAUUUAUUGGACAAAAUUUUAUGCGCUAAGCCAUUCAGUGGAUUAUAGAAGUGGUAACUCUAGAGAAUAAGAAUAAGCUUUAAACACCCACCUUGGUUAAGGAAACAGGUCGAGUCCUGCUGGGAUUCUUCCAUGAGCAUGCAGGGCUGCUCUUACGAUACACUGCUUCUGCCAAGGUGGGGCCUUGUCUACCAAUACUGGAAAACCCUGAGAGGUUGUCUUUCAUUCUUCACUGAUUCUUUCUCCGUGAUCUUUAUGGAUAAAUGUACUUCUCUCCUUGCUGCGCCGAUCUUCUUGUUCACAGAGUAACCAGGUUGUUUUGCUGCACCUGAUUUUGCUGAUCCAAUUUUUUUGUGUCUUUUUUUUUUUUUUCUGAGGUCUGCCAUUUUUUUUUUUCCAACUAGGUCCUUUCCAUGUUGUUCCAUGAGUAGGUUCCAUGCUAUUUUUU